RNAcentral lists this ribosomal RNA (468 nucleotides) under uncultured bacterium. RNAcentral's name for it is "partial 16S ribosomal RNA". It matches the Rfam family "Bacterial small subunit ribosomal RNA", at positions 28 to 507 of the family's 1533-position model. The record is from RNAcentral.
GACGAACGCUGGCGGCGUGCCUAACACAUGCAAGUCGAACGGACAGUUCCGGGUUAUGUGGGGUGCUCGAGUGGCGAACUGGUGAGUUACCCGUGAGUACCCUGUCCUUCACUUAGGGUUAUCCUCAUGAAACUUGGGCCCUUACCGGGUAGGAGUUCCUGCCUCUUGGUGGGGGUUGGAAUGUUUCGGCGGUUGGGGAUGGACUCGCGGCUCCUCAGCUUGUAGGUGGGGUAGUGGCGUACCAAGGCUUUGACGGGUAGCCGGCCUGAGAGGGUGACCGGCCACAUUGGGACUGGGAUACGGCCCAGACUCCUACGGGAGGCAGCAGUGGAGAAUAUUGCACAAUGGGCGGAAGCCUGAUGCAGCAACGCCGCGUGCGGGAUGACGGCCUUCGGGUUGUAAACCGCUUUCGCCUGUGACGAAGCGUGAGUGACGGUAAUGGGUAAAGAAGCACCGGCUAACUACGUG